This 468-nucleotide long non-coding RNA is filed under the name Zostera marina. RNAcentral's name for it is "long non-coding RNA (ZMAR_LNC001880)". The record is from RNAcentral. Lineage: Eukaryota; Viridiplantae; Streptophyta; Magnoliopsida; Alismatales; Zosteraceae.
AAAUGCACCCGGAGUGGCUCCCGUAAUCGAAACACAAUCAAUUUCUAGAAUAAGAGUAAAAAAAUAAAAGAGGGGAGCCCUUCGAAAAGGCCAGCCAAAGGUUUCCAAGGUCAGAAGACCGCGUGGGAACAUUCGAACGGCUCAAGCCACUCUUCGAAGGAAAACACACAAUAAGUAAGAACGCUAAAGCGAUACAUUGCGAAAGAAAAAAAAACUCUAAGUGUCGAAAAGGGGGGGCAACGCCCGAUCCCCCACGGCUAGGGCGAGUUGGGAACGACGAGGCAAAAAGAAGGAGGGCCCACCGAAAUGGCCAGCCGAGGGUUCCCAAGGUCAGAAGACCGCGCGGAAGCGCUCAGACAGCCCAGGCCGCCCCCCCCAAAGAGGAACAUGCAACAAGUAAGACCACGAAAGCGAUAUACUGCGGGAAAAAGGAGAAAGCAAGUAUCCAAAAAGAAAAAAAUAUUUAAG